AGUGAACGCUGGCGGUAGGCCUAACACAUGCAAGUCGAACGGCAGCACAGUAAGAGCUUGCUCUUACGGGUGGCGAGUGGCGGACGAGUGAGGAAUACAUCGGAAUCUACUUUUUCGUGGGGGAUAACGUAGGGAAACUUACGCUAAUACCGCAUACGACCUACGGGUGAAAGCAGGGGAUCUUCGGACCUUGCGCGAUUGAAUGAGCCGAUGUCGGAUUAGCUAGUUGGCGGGGUAAAGGCCCACCAAGGCGACGAUCCGUAGCUGGUCUGAGAGGAUGAUCAGCCACACUGGAACUGAGACACGGUCCAGACUCCUACGGGAGGCAGCAGUGGGGAAUAUUGGACAAUGGGCGCAAGCCUGAUCCAGCCAUACCGCGUGGGUGAAGAAGGCCUUCGGGUUGUAAGGCCCUUUUGUUGGGAAAGAAAAGCAGCAGGUUAAUACCCCGCUGUUCUGACGGUACCCAAAGAAUAAGCACCGGCUAACUUCGUG
RNAcentral lists this ribosomal RNA (492 nucleotides) under uncultured bacterium. Its description in RNAcentral is "partial 16S ribosomal RNA". It matches the Rfam family "Bacterial small subunit ribosomal RNA", at positions 29 to 507 of the family's 1533-position model. The record is from RNAcentral.